Hydractinia symbiolongicarpus is the source of this 1729-nucleotide long non-coding RNA. RefSeq lists it as uncharacterized. The transcript is spliced from 3 exons. NCBI's taxonomy places the organism in Eukaryota, Metazoa, Cnidaria, Hydrozoa, Anthoathecata, Hydractiniidae. The record is from RefSeq and is a predicted model, not a curated record.
UUAAGUUUUUAAUUUUAAUACCUUUUUUAAUUGCGAUAGCGCGAUGGUUUGGUUUCGGCUCAGCCCUACGGCAUUCAAAAGUCACAUUAAUAAAGUUAUUUUAAGAUAACAAGUGCUAUCUUAAGAUAACUCUAUUAAUGUGAUUUCGGAAUGCGUGUAUAUUCACAUAAAUGUCUUGAUUGCAAGAUAACUCGAGUUAUUUUAAGAUAACAUAAAUGUGAUAAUUCUAUCUUUUCUAAUGCGCAUAUGUGUAAAUGAACGUUGCUUAGGGUGCGGAUACGUAAAGUAGCUCACAAAACAACAGCCUACAUGAAUUUCCGGCCGUAUUGACAUUUAUUUUGAUACGUCAUUUGUAUUGUCCUUGUGGUGUCGCGUAUGUGCUCUGCUGUAGAGUUCGCUCUGCGGUGGAGAACAAGAUGCAUUUUGUUAGUUUUGUGUUGUGAUGUAUUGUCCCGUGUUAAUUAUGUAAAGAGAAUAAUUGUAAUUUUGGUACUAUUUUUAGUUAAAUUUUCUGCACAUCUUGCACAUCUUUUUUCUGCGCAUUCAGUCUUCAACAUGUAAUGACAGAGUCGAACAUACAUUUUUGUAUAAAAUUUGCUGUUGAGUGAAAUUUUUCUUUCAUACAUCACAGGAGUUGUCCUGUAUCUCAGCGUCUGUUUUAGUUGUUUUCUCUCACAUGUAGUUGGCUUGGCUUACGCCACUAUAUAUCUAGUUAAAUCUUGGCAUUCAUUUUUUUGCUUUGCUAAAUUGUAUUUUUGGUAAUAUAGAACAGACAGCCAAUUACUGACAUGAAAAAUCGUAAGAAUAAUAUUAAACGAAGAUCCAUACAAUGUAAAUUGGAGAAACUGAUUACAUUACAACGAACAAGUGAAUGAUCAGUGAAAAACAAUCUAAGAAAUGUAUGGAUGCUGAGUCGUUUACAACACAUGUAAAAAAGUGCGCCAAAUAUAAUUUUUUUAAAAAAAUUCGCCGAAUUUAUGGAUACUGUGUCGUUGAUAGCAAGCACAAACUGUGUAUUUGCUUUCCCCUCUUGAAAAUUUUAGCGAAUGUGUGCAUAAGAGUUCUGUAACCAUGGAACCAAUAUACGUCUUAUGUGCCUUUAACAGAACACUGUGUGGUGAAAAUCAAUAUAAGAAUUGCGUCAAUGCUGUGGCGGUUUCACGCGCUGUUAGUAAAAGUAUGGAUGCUGUUUCUAACAAAACAUUAUAAUCAAUGCAAAAUGUUAUUUUUACAUUUGUUAAUGCUCGGGAACUGCAAUCUUUCUAAAAAGAGUAUGAAUGUCAUGUCAAGCAAAAAAGGUGUACUAAGCUAUGUUGUGGAAAUCAUUGCAGCAAAUAUAAGGUCGUGUUCCCAUAAGUUCUUAAAAAGAUGAUGGAUUUAGUGCAGCUCUGUCGGUAGAGCGUUUGAAUCAUCUCCUCUACUUGAGAUUAUAAGUUCAAUGUCCCCCCAUUGUCUAGUUAGGUUGUCAUUUCAUAAAGAUUUUUGUAGCAAUGGGAGCUAAACACUGGAAACCUGGUCCAUCCUAAAAUCCAUUGAGCACAGACCACAUUAAAUAUAAAUCACCAUCAGUGGUUUGAGGCAGAAUUGUAAGAGAAUUUACAUACUGGAUGGUUCUUUUGUUAUGAAAGUUUUUUUGCAGUAACUUUAAUGACUAAGGUGUCUUUUUAUGCCACUACCUGUACACAUGAUAGAGCUUAAAAGUACUGCCAAACUCUUUUUCCAUGUAUUG